GGUCGAGCAAGGAAGAAAAUCGGACGUAGUGAUCCGGUGGUUCUGCGUGGAGGGGCAAUCGCUCAACGGAUAACAGCUACCCUGGGGAUAACAGGCUUAUCUCCCCCAAGAGUCCACAUCGACGGGGAGGUUUGGCACCUCGAUGUCGGCUCAUCACAGCCUGGGGCUGUAGUAGGUCCAAAGGGUUGGGCUGUUCGCCCAUUAAAGUGGUACGCGAGCUGGGUUCAGAACGUCGUGAGACAGUUCGGUCCCUAUCCGUCGCAGGCGUAGGAAAUUUGAGAAGACC
RNAcentral lists this ribosomal RNA (286 nucleotides) under Clostridioides difficile. RNAcentral's name for it is "partial 23S ribosomal RNA". It matches the Rfam family "Bacterial large subunit ribosomal RNA", at positions 2387 to 2672 of the family's 2925-position model. Lineage: Bacteria; Bacillati; Bacillota; Clostridia; Peptostreptococcales; Peptostreptococcaceae. The record is from RNAcentral.